UGCCACAGCCAUGUCACCCUGCAGCCCAAGACCGGUUACUCACUGAAGCUAAGAAGGGCUGAGCCUGGUCAGUGCCUGGAAUGGAGACCACCAUGGGAAAAAUAGGUUGGUGUUGGAA
Molecule: ribosomal RNA, 118 nt
Filed under: Danio rerio (zebrafish)
Lineage: Eukaryota; Metazoa; Chordata; Actinopteri; Cypriniformes; Danionidae
Source: RNAcentral